GCCUGGGUGGCUCAGUUGGUUAAGCGUCCGGCUUUGACUCCGGUCAUGAUCUCCCGGUUCAUGGGUUCGAGCCCCAUGUCGGGCU
RNAcentral lists this transfer RNA (85 nucleotides) under Felis catus (domestic cat). It matches the Rfam family "tRNA". Rfam says of the family: Transfer RNA (tRNA) molecules are approximately 80 nucleotides in length. The record is from Rfam by way of RNAcentral. Lineage: Eukaryota; Metazoa; Chordata; Mammalia; Carnivora; Felidae.